GACGAACGCUGGCGGCGUGCUUAACACAUGCAAGUCGAACGGAAAGGCCCUGCUUUUGUGGGGUGCUCGAGUGGCGAACGGGUGAGUAACACGUGAGUAACCUGCCCUUGACUUUGUGAUAACUUCAGGAAACUGGGGCUAAUACCGGAUAGGAGCUCCUGCUGCAUGGUGGGGGUUGGAAAGUUUCGGCGGUUGGGGAUGGACUCGCGGCUUAUCAGCUUGUUGGUGGGGUAGUGGCUUUCCAAGGCUUUGACGGGUAGCCGGCCUGAGAGGGUGACCGGCCACAUGGGGACUGAGAGACGGCCCAGACUCGUACGGGAGGCAGCAGUGGGGAAUAUUGCAGAAUGGGCGGAAGCCUGAUGCAGCAACGCCGCGUGCGGGAUGACGGCCUUCGGGUUGUAAACCGCUUUCGCCUGUGACGAAGCGUGAGUGACGGUAAUGGGUAAAGAAGCACCGGCUAACUACGUG
Molecule: ribosomal RNA, 468 nt
Filed under: uncultured bacterium
Lineage: Bacteria
Description: partial 16S ribosomal RNA
Rfam family: Bacterial small subunit ribosomal RNA
Source: RNAcentral